AUUUGGUUCAUUUUUCAUAUAGGGCCAAGACAUAUACAAGUCUAAACAAGUGAGAGAUAAGCAAAUUGUCCGCAUACUCGGGAAGGCGCCUACAAUUGCUGCAGCCGCUUACUUGAGAAUGGCUGGAAGGCCACCUGUUCUUCCAUCCAGCAACCUCUCAUACUCAGAGAACUUCUUAUAUAUGCUUGAUUCAUUGGGCAACAGGUCUUAUAAACCUAAUCCACGGCUUGCUCGUGCUCUUGAUAUUCUUUUCAUAUUACAUGCAGAACAUGAAAUGAAUUGCUCCACUGCAGCUGCAAGGCACCUUGCUUCAAGGUUGUAUCUUAUUG
This is a long non-coding RNA of Sesamum indicum (sesame), 329 nucleotides long. RefSeq lists it as uncharacterized. The record is from RefSeq and is a predicted model, not a curated record. Lineage: Eukaryota; Viridiplantae; Streptophyta; Magnoliopsida; Lamiales; Pedaliaceae.